Molecule: transfer RNA, 72 nt
Filed under: Ovis aries (sheep)
Lineage: Eukaryota; Metazoa; Chordata; Mammalia; Artiodactyla; Bovidae
Rfam family: tRNA
About the family: Transfer RNA (tRNA) molecules are approximately 80 nucleotides in length. Their secondary structure includes four short double-helical elements and three loops (D, anti-codon, and T loops).
Source: Rfam by way of RNAcentral
UCCUUGGUGGCUCAGAUGGUAAAGCGUCUGCCUACAAUGCGGGAGACCCGGGUUUGAUCCCUGGGUUGGGAA